Molecule: long non-coding RNA, 5762 nt
Filed under: Bemisia tabaci
Lineage: Eukaryota; Metazoa; Arthropoda; Insecta; Hemiptera; Aleyrodidae
Description: lncRNA ENSSWEETPG002080
Source: RNAcentral
AUGGGCUCCGGGAGCAGAGAAGUUGAAGAUUUGUGCCGUGUAUGUGCGAAAGACAAAUCCAACAUUCAGUUGUUCAGUGAGAGCGGCAUGAAACACAAGCUUAUCAACAAAAUCAAAAGAUAUUUAUCAAUCGUGGUUUUGGCAAACGAUAAACUGCCCUUAGGCAUUUGUUAUGGGUGCGCCAAAAAACUAGACAGCAUUCACCGUUUUGUACGAAAUGCCCAGGAAGCUCAAAAUAAUCUCAAGGAUCUCAUGAAAUACGAGAAGUAUCAUGCUCAACCAGACACCUCAGGAAGUUUGCUUCACUCCAUCUUGACAAGAGGAAAUAAUCCAGAAGAAAGGAAUGGAAUGAAAUCGGAAAACAUGGAUGAGGAGGAUGAGGAAGAGGAGGAGGAGCAGCUAGAAGUAACAAAAAUGGAAGUAGACAUAGAUCCGAUGCUAUUUCUUGUUCCAGAUGAAGACUCCCAGUCUGAUGAUAAAGCAGAUGUAAAAGAAACUUCAUCUCAUUUAAACAAUAAUGUGAACGAGAUGUAUGAGAAACAGGAACGGGUCAAGCCGUAUCGAUGUUCAAUAUGCCCUCGAGGUUUCAAUACAGAGAUUGGUUUGCAGAAUCAUUUGUGGAGCCAUUUACCAACAGCCAACAGAGUCCUCACCAAAACAAAAUUUCAAAGUUUGAAAGACAAAGGAUGUGUUUACUCAUCAAAUGGAGUUUUGCGCACAGCCUCAGUGGCAGAACCGGUAGUAAACAAUAGUGGACCAUUAACUUGUCCUGUUUGUGGGAAGCUGAUCUCUACUAAAGGCAACCUGAAGGUUCAUCUAGAAACACAUCGGCCCAAAGGAGAUAUGACUGUGAUAUUUGUGGUAGAAUGUAAGUGUUAAUCUGCUACCUCAUUGUAAAAAUCUUCUAUUUUUAAAGAUUUCUGGAGAAAGGAAUUUUCUCUUUCGUUAGAAUCAUAUGAUUACUUUUUGGUUUAACUGACAAUAAACUUUAACUUACUGUCAAACUGAAUAUUUUGGAAAAUUACAGGAGAACCAAGAAAUUUGACAUCGAUUUUAAUAUUAACAAUAACAGAAUGCUUCCUAUUUUUCUCCCCAUUUUAUACUCCCUAUUUUAUGCUUACUGCUGGUCAAUUGAUCGAAAAAAUGAGCAAAUAUCAUCACUUUCAUCUGGAGAAAUUUGAUGAAAUCAAAAGAUCUUUACUUUACAAGCAGGAGUGCAGGAAGUGCAAGUCUCUCUCAUUUUCAUACGCCCACUCGGUCACUUCUCACAUUUUUCCCAUGUCUUUCCUCAAAAACUCCCCCCUAUAUCUAGAUACAUUAUGGACUAAGCCAUGUGAGGUGCCCAACAAGUGGUAGCCCUAAGAAGGGCUGUUGGAAAAGGCUGUGUCGAGCUACAGUCAAAAAAGCUGCGCUGGUUGGUGGAGUGGUGGCUUGCCGCCACACAAUGACCGUUUUUAAAUGUUUUCUUUAAAAAAAAAAAAAAAAAAAAAAAAAAAAAAAAAAAAAAAAAACUGAUCUCCUGGAUCCAUUUAUGUUUUUAUCAGUCACACUGUUCUGUCCUUGGAACAGGUCAAAGUUGUUAAGUGUCUUGCUUAAAACUUUUUCCAUAGAUCAAGUUAAUCAACACCUCAUAUCAGGAUGAGAAAUCCCAUCUCCUGCAAAUGGUCAAAAAUUAUCCUUACCUCUGUUAAAAGCUUUUCUUCAAUAACCUAUUGAUUUGUUGUUAUAUCUUAUUUCAGUUUUAAAACACCAUCAAAUCUCAGUCGACACAAAGAAUACCAUGAAUAUGUGCAGUUUCCUUGCAAAGUCUGUGGUCGUGUUUAUCCAACAAACAGUACUUUAAGGGCACAUAGUAUCACGCAUAGUAAUCUAAGGCCGCAUAAAUGUCCUCUUUGUGAUAAAACAUUCAAACGAAAUCAAGAUUUAAAAGUAAGUUCUUCCUCAAAAAAUCUCAAUCGGGUAUUUGUCGUAUGGAGUAUAUCCGUAACAUCAACUGGAGUGAAAGUAAGAGUAUUUAAAAAUCUCUCAAAGAUGAUGACUAGUGUUAUCUCUUCGAUUGCAUACAAAGGCGAGGGAUAUUUUCCAUUUUUGUGCUGAAUCCAGUGGUAAGUCAAGUUAAAAACGGAAAAUAUGAAAUGUAGUUUUUCCAUAUUCCAAUAAAAAAAUAUAUUGAUGAACCAGCCAAAAAUAAAUUGAUAAACUGAGUAAUUUUGAAAUUCACCCAAGUUUUCCAAUGCUAUCAAAUGACCCAUGCUCCAUGUAUAGGCAUGGAGACCCUGCAAGGGAAACCGUUCAAGUGGAAGAGUAAUUUUUGCUGUGGCUGUGAAAUUCAUCCACUUCUUUUAUUGAUUUCAAGUAUUGUGAAACAACCUUUCUUUGAAUUCUUGACUUUUCUCCCUCCAUUGCAAAGCUUGACCCUAUUGUGAAUCGCACAGUACAACAGCAGGCAAAUAUCAAUUCUCCCCCCCCCCCCUCCAUUUUCAUAGGAUUUCUUACACAUCCGUAACAACCCAGUUGCGCCCGAAAUGUCCUAAAGUUUUUCCCCAUAAAAUGAUGCAAUUUUUUUAAACUUAAGAUCUAAGUGUAAAGUUGAAUUCUAACCCAUCCCUUCCUUUAUUUACUCCAUGUGUUGCUGAAACGCUGCUCUUGUUAUCUUUGCUAUCAGCCUAUUUUAUAACUUAAUUAUUUCUAUUCUGCAAUUUUCAGUUUCACAUCAACCAACACACUGGAGCUCGCCCUUAUCAGUGCCCAUACUGUCCCAAGGCCUUCGCCAGCUCCGGAAACUGUUUUUCGCACCGCAAACGAAUGCAUUCCGAUGAAGUUGAAAGGGAUCGUGAGUUAGCUGGAGGUGAAUCUGAGUAAAGUACAUAGUUGCUCACCAUUUUGUGCUUUUGCAUUGUCUCAUUAUGAUAUUUAAAUGUACCAUGAUUUACAGAAACUCUUUGGCUGUAUUUACACCAUUUUCUUCGUCGAGAAUUUUGAAGAGCUGAAUCUUUUGUUAUACUUUCGAACCUUGUCUCAAUCGUCAAUGGUAAAGAGUUGUUAGAAAUUUUAUUGAUCUAGACCGUACUGUACAAACAUACCAAGUUUAAAGUAGCGAAAGUAAACCAGUUCUUAGGAAUGUCCAUGACUUUAUUAUUGUCUGUUAUCAUUUAUACUUUCCUGUACCAUAUGGUUCCUCAAGCUAUUUUUUUAUGCCACAUCAAGUCUUAUUUCAUCUACUCAACAAUUUAAUUUUUCUAUUAGUAUUAUAUUAUGCAUUAAAUUGAGCUUUCCAUAAUAUGACUGAUAGCCAUAUUUCCUUAAAGUCAAGGGAAGGAUUGAAGAUAUCGUUUUAUCAAGGUACCUGUAUGACUGGAAAAAUAGGGAAAAUCAAGUGAAAGAAAUUGACCCUAAACUCAGGGAUUUCUGCAAGGAACUGAAAUUUUUACCCUUAGUCUAAUUUUUCCCAAUCACAUACGUUCUUACAACCGGAAUGAACAUUUCAGAAAAUUAUAACUUUAAAAAUAAGAAAACUGAGAGCUUAGAGAUUAAUUUUGAAGAAUUCUAACCAUAAAAAAUUGCCACUUUUUAUGCAUGUGCGUAGAUUAUCGAUCAAGAAAAUCUGGUAAUUUCUUUCAUCUUAGUCUGGAAAACCCAGAAAAGUCUUGAAAUUUUUCUCUUGGAAGUCUGUAAGUACCCUGACUUAAAAUAACUUGGUAAAAUAUAAACUCCUCCGGCAUUAGCCCAUUAAAGGUCAUGGAGUAACCUCAAUUUCUCUAAAGGUAUUAUUGUACUGAGUAGUAAUAAAAUGCUUUUAAGUCAAAAACUGGUGUCAAAAUAGUCAAAAUUGUGUAGAUUCUAAGUCAAGAUUCUACUUAUUAUUUUAAUUUUAGGAAUGAUCUCCAUGAUUUACAAUUUAAGUGUAUCUCUGUCAUCAGUAUGUUAUGAAAUAAUUGUAAUAUUCCUGAAAACUAGUCAAGUUUUAUCUUUCACCAGCUAUGCCAUAUUUUCAUUUUUAUUAGAAUUAAUUUUUGAUGGAUCACUACUUUGUUGACGCAAUGUUUUUUCGUCAUGAAAGUAAUUUUCUUCACUGAAUAGUUCCAUUAGUGGAAGUUAAUUGUUUUUUUUUUCCUUGAAUAUAUAUACCUUUAUUUAUUCUGACUCAAUACCUGUUCUCAGUUUGUUUUCUCUCUCUCACUCGCUCUAUCUUUCAAUGCUCAAUAUUUUUGUCUAUAUCAGGCGCUUGCGGAGAACUGCUAGUUCUUGCUGUUUUCGUUCUUCAACAAGAAAAGAAAAAAAAAAAUUUAAAAAAAUAUCAUAGAUUCCCAUACAUAGUGUAAAGUUUUUAUUUUUCAGAAAAAUGUUAUACUUGUGUGUAAAUUGUGUGACCUAUUCUAAGAAGCAGUAACUAUCAUUUUAUUUGCUUUUUUGUCUGCUUAAUAGAAAGUGUAAAGUUUUAUUUUGUGGUUCAUCCCCUGUUUGUUUUGUCGUUUCAUUGUGAUUGCUCUGUCACUUUGAUGCUUCACAAUCAAAGAGAUCCAUAAUUUCUAAACCAUUUAUGUAUGUGUCUGUAUAUCUAGUAUGUAUUUUUAUAUCCACAAGCUUAUCCAUAGAUAAGAACACAUACGUGUAGUGCUUUAUUUUUUUAAAUGUUGAAGGGUAACAUAUGAUGUAGGGUGUUCACUCUAUUCUACAAUUUUUUCUAAAUUUAAUUGGAGCUGAGAGUUAGUUUCGAGCAUGAAACAAUGGGGACCCAUACUGCUGAAGCUCAAUAUUUGUCUAAUUUUCGUGGAAAUUGUUUAAUCUCCAAUUUCUGAAAGACACCUACUGAUGUUAUAUCUCUUAAUCCAGUUCUAAUCAUGAUUUAUCAAGCAAAAAAUCAAAAGUAGGUAACUUCCUCGAUUUUUGCGGAGGGUUUUCUUAUACCUCCUUAAAUGACCAGGUGACCCAUCUCUAUUAAUAGGUUGUGAACAUAAGAUGGUAUGUAAGUCACAAAUGACUGCAGUGACACUAGAAAAAAAACUUACCUACCCGACAGUUUUGCAAAUUUAUUUUCACAUCUUCUCAUGAUACACUAAUGCAUAUUGUUGUUAGUUUGUUUAAUUCAGCAUCAUCUUCAUUUGACUCUCUAAAUAUAUUCUCUAAGAAUUUCCAAGGGAAAUGUAUGUAAAUUUCCUUCUGUUGCAAAUGAAGUAGAAGCUGAAGUUCUAAAGCAUCACCACGGAAAUUAAUGUUUAUGUAGUUUUAACACCAAGAUGUUGUUUUAAGAAUACUGACUUCAACAGUGAAUGGAUUGAAUCAAGUUAAAGUUAAGAGUGGAAAUUAUUGCAAUACUAAGUGAAGGGAAAAGGAAUUUUUACAAUUUAUAGAAAUCAUCGGAGAUACAGGCAAGGAUCUAAAGAAAUCUCCGAUCAAUAGGAGCUCAAAAUUGUAACAUUAUUUUACUUCGUAGAUUUUUCCUCUAAAAGGAUUUAAUUCUGGAGUUUGAACUGUCAUCUUCUAAAAUUCGAUGCAGGAUUCCUAUGAUUCUCCAUAUAUAAUCACCUGUAAUAGAAAAUUCCAUUAUAUCCCAGGCUGUUACUUUUAGGCACCUUUGAAAUACCUAUAACUUGUAAUGUUGAGACUGAACUUUGUAGGUGGUUUGUAAAACCUUAAUAACAAAAUAAAACUUCCUUUUACAGUAUCUAAUUACUUUUUAUUUAUUUUUGUCAUUAUCCAUACUUUUUGCCCCACUGUUAUGUUUUUUUCAAAUUAAAAAUUCAAAUAGUUUCAAUAGUCAG